This 300-nucleotide ribosomal RNA is filed under the name uncultured Sulfurospirillum sp. Its description in RNAcentral is "bacterial SSU rRNA". The stretch from base 52 to 300 matches the Rfam family "Bacterial small subunit ribosomal RNA", at positions 547 to 795 of the family's 1533-position model. The record is from RNAcentral. Lineage: Bacteria; Pseudomonadati; Campylobacterota; Epsilonproteobacteria; Campylobacterales; Sulfurospirillaceae.
GGGACAUGAGGUCAGGGAGCCAGGGGAAGACGUAGGGGUAGUGCGGUGAGCGGAAUGUACGGGCGUAAAGGGGUGCAUGUGGGUGUUGCAAGACUGACCGUAAAGCCCCAGGCUGAACCGGGUAACGGCUUUCGUGACUGCAAGACUAGAGUGUGGCAGAGGGGGGUGGUAUUCCACGUGUAGCAGUGAAAUGCGUAGAGAUGUGGAGGAACACCGAUGGCGAAGGCAGCCCCCUGGGCUAACACUGACACUCAUGCACGAAAGCGUGGGGAGCAAACAGGAUUAGAUACCCCAGUAGUC